Non-coding RNA from Anolis sagrei ordinatus, 421 nucleotides. NCBI's taxonomy places the organism in Eukaryota, Metazoa, Chordata, Lepidosauria, Squamata, Anolidae. The record is from RefSeq and is a predicted model, not a curated record.
CUGACAGGAUCAGAAAGCUGUCAUUACUAUCUCCCCAAACGCCUGGCACAACUAGAUUCCAUGAGUAUCCUACGCAGCACUCAAGACCAGUAUGGGAAGCAAACCAAUUACCUCAAAAGGACUAUCUCCACAAGCUGAAUCUAUUGAGAAGAAAGAUGUUGGGGCCAGUAAUGAAAGCUGCGUGGGGAGCUCCAUCCUCUAAAACGACAAGUUCUCCAAUCAGUCAGGGUGAAGAUAAGGAUUCAAUUGCUAUUUUUGGAAAGGGAUGGAGCCCCAACAAAAAACAAGCCACAUUCCCAGCAAUAAAGAAAAACCUAAGACAAAACUAAUUCUAAAACUUGUUCAAAUUCAGCUUCGCUGAAUUAUUUUUAAAAAACCAAGUUAAAACAUCCAGUGAAAAAUUGAUCUCUUCUGAAAGCUG